This 877-nucleotide ribosomal RNA is filed under the name uncultured marine bacterium. RNAcentral describes it as "bacterial SSU rRNA". It matches the Rfam family "Bacterial small subunit ribosomal RNA", at positions 8 to 916 of the family's 1533-position model. The record is from RNAcentral.
AGAGUUUGAUCCUGGCUCAGAACGAACGCUGGCGGCAUGCCUUAUACAUGCAAGUCGAACGAGAAAGUCACUUCGGUGGCGAGUACAGUGGCGCACGGGUGAGUAACGCGUAGAUGAUCUACCCUUCAGUCUGGGACAACUCUUGGAAACGGGAGCUAAUACCGGAUAAAACCUUCGGGUUGAAAGAUUUAUCGCUGGGGGAUGAGUCUGCGUACCAUUAGCUUGUUGGUGGGGUAACGGCCUACCAAGGCGACGAUGGUUAGCGGGUCUGAGAGGACGAUCCGCCACACUGGAACUGAGACACGGUCCAGACUCCUACGGGAGGCAGCAGUAGGGAAUAUUGCGCAAUGGGGGCAACCCUGACGCAGCAAUGCCGCGUGAGUGAAGAAGGCCUUCGGGUCGUAAAGCUCUUUUAUGGGGGAAGAUGAUGACGGUACCCCAUGAAUAAGCACCGGCUAACUACGUGCCAGCAGCCGCGGUAAUACGUAGGGUGCGAGCGUUGUUCGGAAUUACUGGGCGUAAAGGGCGUGCAGGCGGAUUGGCAAGCCGGAGGUGAAAGCCCGGGGCUCAACCCCGGAGGGUCUUUCGGAACUGCCAGUCUUGAGAGGGUCAGGGGCCAGUGGAAUUCCUGGUGUAGAGGUGAAAUUCGUAGAGAUCAGGAGGAACACCGGCGGCGAAAGCGGCUGGCUGGGGCCACUCUGACGCUGAGGCGCGAAAGCGUGGGGAGCAAGCAGGAUUAGAUACCCUGGUAGUCCACGCCGUAAACGAUGGGCACUAAGCGUCCGACGGGUUCGACCCUGUUGGGUGCUGCAGUUAACGCGUUAAGUGCCCCGCCUGGGGAGUACGGUCGCAAGACUAAAACUCAAGGAAUUGACGG